RNAcentral lists this ribosomal RNA (495 nucleotides) under uncultured bacterium. Its description in RNAcentral is "partial 16S ribosomal RNA". It matches the Rfam family "Bacterial small subunit ribosomal RNA", at positions 28 to 507 of the family's 1533-position model. The record is from RNAcentral.
GACGAACGCUGGCGGCGUGCCUAAUACAUGCAAGUAGAACGCUGAAGGAGGAGCUUGCUUCUCUGGACGAGUUGCGAACGGGUGAGUAACGCGUAGGUAACCUGCCUGGUAGCGGGGGAUAACUAUUGGAAACGAUAGCUAAUACCGCAUAAUAGUAGAUGUUGCAUGACAUUUGCUUAAAAGGUGCAAUUGCAUCACUACCAGAUGGACCUGCGUUGUAUUAGCUAGUUGGUGAGGUAACGGCUCACCAAGGCGACGAUACAUAGCCGACCUGAGAGGGUGAUCGGCCACACUGGGACUGAGACACGGCCCAGACUCCUACGGGAGGCAGCAGUAGGGAAUCUUCGGCAAUGGACGGAAGUCUGACCGAGCAACGCCGCGUGAGUGAAGAAGGUUUUCGGAUCGUAAAGCUCUGUUGUAAGAGAAGAACGAGUGUGAGAGUGGAAAGUUCACACUGUGACGGUAUCUUACCAGAAAGGGACGGCUAACUACGUG